CUUUUUAUUUGGUUUGGCGGGCAUUUAAGCUUAUGUUUCUCCAUCUGUGGGAACAGGUGAUGAGGAGGAAUGGGAUCAGCAGUGUGUUUGGCAUUCAGAGCUCCUCUCUGGCCUUGAUAAAUUGGACAUGUGUAUGGAUCAGCUACAAGAGGACCAGGAAAAAUGGAUGGCACAGGCAGGAGAUUGGUCUACAAACAUUCAUGCUACAGUAAGAACAGUUGCUUUAUGGUUUAUUGCUGUGACUUCAGCUGUGUAAGUGAGUGACACCGUUAGGCCAAAAGUUCACUUCCUCUUUUAUGCCAGCAGUAAAAAAUGUAUGCAAUAGAGAGGUUUGGAACGUCUUGUAGUUAAACUUUAACGCCAGCUCUUUGCUGUGAAAAGCACUUUCUAACACUGUAAAUAACAAGGCUGUCAUUAUUUUUCCUGCAGGACAGAGAGCUGAGACAGAGAAAGCUGGUGGAGCAGUGUUGUUCCAGACAGACUGAGUUGGAGGCCGCUCUUAAUCCGCUUCACUUUAUCAGACACCUUUCGCUGCUCCGUGCAGACACUGCUCAGGCUGUACUGUGUGGGAAGUUUUGGUUCAAGGAAUAUGGCCUGGUGCAGUACAGUGGAUACAAACAGAAUGUGAAGAUCAUGGGUUUGCUUCAGCAGAAGGCUUUGCCUCUGCUCGAGAGACUGAACCAGCUCCUUGAAGAAAAACAGCCAGCUGGAUUCUCCUCCAACACAUGCAAUCAGCACAUCUCUGGUUUGUCAACAAAGCAGGCAUAUGGUUUGGAGAUUGCAUCUAGAGUCUGGACAGCCUCCGUGCCUGUCGUGAAAGGUAUGUGCCAUAUGAGUGCAUAUGUAGAAAUAGUGCAUAUAAGCAUACAAAUAUGUUCAAUAUGCCAAAAAGCACAUUAAAGCAUUUAA
RNAcentral lists this long non-coding RNA (909 nucleotides) under Oreochromis niloticus (Nile tilapia). RNAcentral describes it as "lncRNA (ENSONIG00000036052.1)". Lineage: Eukaryota; Metazoa; Chordata; Actinopteri; Cichliformes; Cichlidae. The record is from RNAcentral.